Molecule: ribosomal RNA, 468 nt
Filed under: uncultured bacterium
Lineage: Bacteria
Description: partial 16S ribosomal RNA
Rfam family: Bacterial small subunit ribosomal RNA
Source: RNAcentral
GACGAACGCUGGCGGCGUGCUUAACACAUGCUCGUAGAACGGAAAGGCCCUGCUUUUGUGGGGCGGUCGAGUGGCGAACGGAUGAGUAACACGCGAGUAACCUGCCCUUGACUAUCUGAUAACUUCACGAAACUGGGGCUAAUAUCAGGUAGGAGCUCCUGCUGCAUGUGGGGGGUUGGCAGGUGUCGGCGGUUGGGUAUGGACUCGCGGUUUCUUAGCAUGUUUGGGGGGUAGUGGCUUACCAAGGCUUUGACGGGUGGCCGGCCUGAGUGGGUUGCCGGCCACAUUGGGGCUAGGAUACGGCCCAGCAUCCUACUGGAGGCAGCGGUGGGGAAUAUUACACAAUGGGCGGAAGCCUGAUGCAGCAACGCCGCGAGCGGGAUGCCGGCCUUCGGGUUAUAAACCGCUUUCGCCUGUGACGAAGCGUGAGUGACGGUAAUGGGUAAAGAAGCAACGGCUAACUACGUG